GAGCCAGACUCCUACGGGAGGCAGCAGUGAGGAAUAUUGGUCAAUGGACGAGAGUCUGAACCAGCCAAGUAGCGUGAAGGAUGACUGCCCUAUGGGUUGUAAACUUCUUUUAUAUGGGAAUAAAGUGUUCCACGUGUGGGAUUUUGUAUGUACCAUAUGAAUAAGGAUCGGCUAACUCCGUGCCAGCAGCCGCGGUAAUACGGAGGAUGCGAGCGUUAUCCGGAUUUAUUGGGUUUAAAGGGUGCGCAGGCGGCGUGUCAAGUCAGCGGUAAAAUGUCGGGGCUCAACCCCGGCCGGCCGUUGAAACUGGCGUGCUCGAGUUGGAGAGAAGUAUGCGGAAUUCGUGGUGUAGCGGUGAAAUGCAUAGAUAUCACGCAGAACGCCGAUUGCGAAGGCAGCUUACCGGCGCUCAACUGACGCUGAGGCACGAAAGUGCGGGUAUCGAACAGGAUUAGAUACCCUAGUA
RNAcentral lists this ribosomal RNA (466 nucleotides) under uncultured bacterium. RNAcentral describes it as "bacterial SSU rRNA". It matches the Rfam family "Bacterial small subunit ribosomal RNA", at positions 328 to 792 of the family's 1533-position model. The record is from RNAcentral.